This 722-nucleotide ribosomal RNA is filed under the name bacterium Ips_4. RNAcentral describes it as "bacterial SSU rRNA". It matches the Rfam family "Bacterial small subunit ribosomal RNA", at positions 17 to 721 of the family's 1533-position model. The record is from RNAcentral.
UCAUGGCUCAGGACGAACGCUGGCGGCGUGCCUAAUACAUGCAAGUCGAGCGGACAGAUGGGAGCUUGCUCCCUGAUGUUAGCGGCGGACGGGUGAGUAACACGUGGGUAACCUGCCUGUAAGACUGGGAUAACUCCGGGAAACCGGGGCUAAUACCGGAUGGUUGUUUGAACCGCAUGGUUCAAACAUAAAAGGUGGCUUCGGCUACCACUUACAGAUGGACCCGCGGCGCAUUAGCUAGUUGGUGAGGUAACGGCUCACCAAGGCGACGAUGCGUAGCCGACCUGAGAGGGUGAUCGGCCACACUGGGACUGAGACACGGCCCAGACUCCUACGGGAGGCAGCAGUAGGGAAUCUUCCGCAAUGGACGAAAGUCUGACGGAGCAACGCCGCGUGAGUGAUGAAGGUUUUCGGAUCGUAAAGCUCUGUUGUUAGGGAAGAACAAGUACCGUUCGAAUAGGGCGGUACCUUGACGGUACCUAACCAGAAAGCCACGGCUAACUACGUGCCAGCAGCCGCGGUAAUACGUAGGUGGCAAGCGUUGUCCGGAAUUAUUGGGCGUAAAGGGCUCGCAGGCGGUUUSUUAAGUCUGAUGUGAAAGCCCCCGGCUCAACCGGGGAGGGUCAUUGGAAACUGGGGAACUUGAGUGCAGAAGAGGAGAGUGGAAUUCCACGUGUAGCGGUGAAAUGCGUAGAGAUGUGGAGGAACACCAGUGGCGAAGG